This 3297-nucleotide long non-coding RNA is filed under the name Setaria italica (foxtail millet). RNAcentral's name for it is "long non-coding RNA (SITA_LNC000609)". Lineage: Eukaryota; Viridiplantae; Streptophyta; Magnoliopsida; Poales; Poaceae. The record is from RNAcentral.
UGGGGGUUUCAUUGACCACCCAAAUUAACCUGGUAAUCUGCAUUUCAUAGAAAAAAAUCUGUUAAAUCUGAUUAAUCUGCAUUGAGUUAUGGGAAUCUGAAAUUUCUGAUUUGUCAAUUUGCUUCUAUUUGGGGGUUUCCUUGACUACCCAAAUUAAUCCGGUAAUCUGCAUUCUAUAGAAACAAAUCUGUUGUAUCUGAUUAAUCUGCAUAUAGUAAUGAGAAUAUGAAAUUUCUAACCAAUUUGCUUAUAUAUGGGGUUUCAAUAACCACCCUAAUUAUCUGGUAGUCUGCAUUAGAUAGAAAUUAUGUCUAAAGUAUCUGUGCAAUCAACAUAUAUAUUUAGGAAACCUUAACAAUCUACUUAGCUGCAUUCAUAUUCUUUUUUAUCAGAUCCGAAACUAUCUGAUAUUUGUUGUUUUAUGAUCUGUGAUUUGUCUUGUUUUUCUAUCCCUGAUUUAUGAUAGUAAGUCCUUAGAUGAGCAAGGAUUCCAGUAGGCUGGUAGUGUGUUGUUGAUUGGGGUUGGUCUGGGUAAUUGUGUCGAUGCCCAAGUCGAAUUUGUUAGUUGAUUGCCUGAUUUGUUUGGUGCCCCCUUUCUGAUUUGAUUGGGACCUCCCCUUCCACCUCCUUGGAUUAGUUGCUGCUAGUUGGAUGGGUGAUGUUUUCUGGGUAUUUGGAUUUGGAUCCCUUUAAUUUGUUUCCGAUGGCUAGUCAGAUUUACUCCUUCACACCUCCGGUUAAUGAACUUUUUUCAUCUGCAAAAUUCAUAUGCCAAUGACAGUGAGAGUGAUGGUUUUCAUGAAUCGAUCUUAUGGAAGGAGUUAUCUUUUUUUUCCUCCCAUGAUGUUAUCUUGAAAAUUCUAAACUCUCCCUCAUGCCAAAUUAGUUGCCUAGGUUAAGUACAUGAAAAAAUUACUGUUAUGACAGUAGGUAUUCAGGUGUCAUUUCUAUAUCCGUCACAUGUAAUUUCUAUGUAUUUGAGACUUAUAUUCUUUUUUGUCAAUUCUCCUAUUGUAUCCAUGUCAUAGGAGUAUGAUUAAAAGCUGACUGGCUGCUUAUUUUUUAUACGAGUAUGAUUAAAAGUUGAUUGGCUGCUCAUUUUUAAGUUCCACUACAUUUACUCAUUGACUGCGCGCACGCUUAACAUUGAUUCAACGACUGCAAUGAAUUUUCCAUUUGUAUUUGUGGGGUUCCAAUAGCUCCCCCAAAUCUGUAGUUUUGGAAACCUACAAAGUAUUUGAAUAAGUCUGAGCUUUGUGUAUUUGAGACUUAUAUUCUUUUUUGUCAAUUCUCCUAUUGUAUCCAUGUCAUAGGAGUAUGAUUAAAAGCUGACUGGCUGCUUAUUUUUUAUAGGAGUAUGAUUAAAAGCUGAUUGGCUGCUCAUUUUUAAGUUCCACUACAUUUACUCAUUGACUCCGCGCACGCUUAACAUUGAUUCAACAACUGCAAUGAAUUUUCCAUUUGUAUGUGUGGGGUUCCAAUAGCUCCCCCAAAUCUGUAGUUUUGGAAACCUACAAAGUAUUUGAAUAAGUCUGAGCUUUGUGAGCUUUUUUUUAAUUUCUGUCAGCUACAUCUGUGCGGUUCAAAUACCUCCCCCAUCAUCUAUCAAUUUGGAAACCAUAGAAAUAUUUUGAAGAAAUCUGCCCUUUUCUGAAUUUUUGAAAUGGUGACAUUUGCAUAUGAGGGGUUUAGCUAGCUACCCCAAUUUCUGUACCUUUUGAAACCAUAGAACUAUUUUGAAUUAGUGUGCAUCUGAUAAUUUGUUUAAAGUAUUUUACAUAUGUAGAAUCGUUUGUUAUUUUGAAUAUCUGCCAUUUGUCUUAAUGCUGUUGUGCUCUAGCUCCAUUUAUUGACCAUUAUGAAUCAAUACCUUUUGGAACCAGUCCAUAUAUUAUAUUAUUUUUAUUUGGGAAAAGCUAACCAUUAUUUGAGCAUUGUGACACUCCAUCACUCGAUUUUGGAGCUGGCCGAUCUGCCUAGGAGUUGUUUCUGACCCUUCAAUGGUUAGGUGGGCUGCCCGGUGGGAUUCUUUUUUCUUCUUCUUCUUUACUGUUUCUAGGACCCAGCAAAUGUCCUGCUCUUUUCGGAUGGGAAGAGCUGCAUCUUGAAGUUGCAAGUCAUUUCGUACUCCUCUCUUUGGUUUCAGUCAGGUGUGGCAAUUCCCUGGCUUCACAUUUUAUUGGCUGUGUAUAGUGCCCCUUACUUGAAUUUACUCUGAUAAUCUCACUGUCAAUUUAUUGUAUUGAAGCUGUAAUCAAACAAAUACUAACAAUAUUUUGCUUCUACAUUUAAACAACUAGUAUGUAAAACAUAGCUAGCAGUUUGUAAUUAAACAAAAAUGUCAGCUUCUACUUAUGGUCUAUGCAAUCAAAGAACUACUAGCUUGCUUCCUACUAUAUGAUACUGUAAAAAUGGUUAGUUUGGUUUUUGCAUUGUGUUUUGUUGAAAAUGUCAGUUUCUUCCUACUAUAUGAUACUGUAAAAAUGGUUAGUUUGUUUUUUUUGCAUUGUGUUCUGUUGAAAAUGUCAGUUUCUUCCUACUAUAUGAUACUGUAAAAAUGGUUAGUUUGAUUUUUUGCAUUGUGUUUUGUUGAAAAUGUCAGUUUCUUCUGCAUAUUGUCAGACUGCUAAUUCUUUUUUGCUGACUGUUAAUAAUUUAUGAAGCAUGUGGUGUGAAGUCACAUGUAGAGAUUUUUGUUCACAGUUGCAUCUCUGACCAUGAAAAAGUCCACAAUGUCCAGUAUUUACCAAUAAUAUAUAUCAAUGAAUCUAUUUUUAUGCUUUAUAAUUAUAUGGCUAUUUUUCUCCUGAUGCUAAUGCGUUAUGCACCUGUGAUCAUAUACAGUGUUUUGACAUUAUUUUUACAGUGAUUAUCUUGCUGCUAGUUUGGUGUAUUGACACUGUCAAACUGUCAAUGUUGUUCUGAGUCUAAGGUUUUUGUACGCAUCAAGUCUGAUUUUUUUCAUUGUCUGCAUCAGCAUGAUGUCUUUUUAUCUCACAAAAUUUAUCCUUUUUUCCCCAGAUGGCUUGCAACUAUGAGGCUUGUCAAUUUUGAGAGGGGGUCUGUUGAAUGUGUAGUACUCCUUCGGAAUUGCUUUGUGCUGGCUUCGGAUUUUGCAUCGGUUAACCCCCAACUUGGUGAUGCUUUGGUGAACAGGGUAGCGGUGAUGAUUUGCAUAUGGUUUUUUUAUGCACUCCCCUCUACUUCUGAAGAUUUGUAAAUCAUAGAUUUUGAAUGAAUCUUUGUCAUCUAUGUCAUUUGCAGGCUAUCUCAUUUUGCAUUUGAGGGUUUCAUUAC